GCUGGUGAUCGACGGAUUGGUAGGAGCCGCUGGAGAUUCGGGGUCCGAUGCGGCAACACGAAGGUUCAGCGUCUGCCCCUCAAAUAUCUCGAAUUCUCCAAGCUCCGGGAACUUGACCGCGCCGUUCUUGUUUUCGACCGUCAGCGUCGUCGACCUGCGGCUGAUUGCGGUGCCAUCAUCGGCAACGAAUUCCAGAUCAAACACGCCAUGCUGGUCAAAUCCCGGAGUCCACUCGAACAGCCCCGUGUUGGGAUCGAGGAAAGCGCCCGCCGGCAAGUCGG
RNAcentral lists this unclassified non-coding RNA (281 nucleotides) under plant metagenome. Its description in RNAcentral is "partial contains 5.8S ribosomal RNA, internal transcribed spacer 2, and large subunit ribosomal RNA". The record is from RNAcentral.